CCAACACACCCAAAUUCGCUUUCAAAUUCUACUUGAAGCCUACAACAAUGGCGGAUUUCUUCAAAUCGUCUUUGUUCUAUUCUGAUCAGCAACUCUGCUACGCAGAAAUACUUCCACCUUCAGUGGUACGAGCUAGAAUCGAAGUCGCAGUCCUCAAUUUUCUCAAGAUCUUGAAUUCUUCGAAUCCGGCCAUCACCGACCUCCCUCUGAUAAGUAGGACGUCAAAUAAUAGCCGAGUGAGCCGUGGAUUGAUGACGGAUGUUUCCUCAAUUUUCCUCUCUCACUCUUUCUGCACGAGAUCUCUGAUGCGAGCCAAUGCCGCCAAGGCCUUUGUUAGAGUGUGGAAAGUCAUGGAGUUAUGUUUUCGACUUCUGACUCAAGAGAAGAGAGUCACCCAGAGAGAGCUUUUCUAUAAGUUGCUUUGUAGCUCGCCAGAUUACUUCACUUCUCAAUUGGAAGUCAAUAGAACGAUCCAAGAUGUUGUUGCUUUCCUCCAUUGCAGUCGUUACAGUCUUGGUAUCAUGGCAUCUAGCAGAGGAGCUAUCAUUGGGCGUUUGUUGUUGCAGGAGACAAACCAAGAGACUGUGGACUGCUCUGCUUGUGGCUCUUCUGGGCAUGCUAUUACAGGCGACUUGAAUGUGAUAGAGAAGUUGGUCAUGCAGUCAGACGCUCGGUAUAUUAUUGUGGUAGAAAAGCAUGCUAUAUUCCAAAGGCUAGCUGAGGACCAGAUAUUCAAUCAAAUUCCAAGCAUACUUGUCACGGCCAAGGGAUAUCCGGACAUUGCAACUAGGUUACUUCUAUAUCGAAUGAGCCGUGCUUUUCCAAAUCUUCCAAUCGUAGCACUGGUUGACUGGAACCCAGCAGGACUAGCUAUACUAUGCACCUUCAAGUUUGGGAGCAUUGGAAUGGGUUUGGAGGCAUACAGAUAUGCUUGCAACGUCAAGUGGCUGGGAUUGCGAGGAGAUGAUCUAUCGCUUAUACCUGAACAAUCAUUAGUUCCACUGAAGCCACGUGACCUGCAAAUAGCUAAAAGCCUGAUGUCCUCUGAGGUGCUGCAGGAGAAUUACAGAGAAGAAUUGCUGUCAAUGAUUCAGAGUGGUCAAAGGGCAGAAAUUGAAGCUCUAUACUUCCAUGGGUAUGAUUUUUUGGGAAAGUACAUUGCAAAAAAAAUUGUACAAUCAGAUUACAUCUGACCCUAGGAUGCUGAGACAAUUUCAAACUUGGAACCAAACAAUAUAGUGUUUUUGCUUUUAGUAUCAGUUGAAGUCAUUUAGUUGCCAUCUAUCAGAUUGCAGAGGAAUAACAACUAAGAAAUAUACCUGAGAUGACAUGAAGGUGU
Telopea speciosissima is the source of this 1339-nucleotide RNA transcript. It is a transcript of the gene named meiotic recombination protein SPO11-2, with no coding region annotated. The record is from RefSeq and is a predicted model, not a curated record. Lineage: Eukaryota; Viridiplantae; Streptophyta; Magnoliopsida; Proteales; Proteaceae. The transcript has 13 exons.